UGGGGAAUAUUGCACAAUGGAGGAAACUCUGAUGCAGCGACGCCGCGUGAGUGAAGAAGUAUUUCGGUAUGUAAAGCUCUAUCAGCAGGGAAGAAAGACUCGAAAGAGAGAUGACGGUACCUGACUAAGAAGCCCCGGCUAACUACGUGCCAGCAGCCGCGGUAAUACGUAGGGGGCAAGCGUUAUCCGGAUUUACUGGGUGUAAAGGGAGCGUAGACGGAAAGGCAAGUCUGAUGUGAAAGCCCGGGGCUCAACCCCGGGACUGCAUUGGAAACUGUCUAUCUAGAGUACAGGAGGGGUGAGCGGAAUUCCUAGUGUAGCGGUGAAAUGCGCAGAUAUUAGGAAGAACACCGGCGGCGAAGGCGGCUCACUGGACUGUAACUGACGUUGAGGCUCGAAAGCGUGGGUAGCAAACAGGAUUAGAUACCCUGGUA
This 434-nucleotide ribosomal RNA is filed under the name uncultured bacterium. RNAcentral describes it as "bacterial SSU rRNA". It matches the Rfam family "Bacterial small subunit ribosomal RNA", at positions 355 to 792 of the family's 1533-position model. The record is from RNAcentral.